Long non-coding RNA from Carassius auratus (goldfish), 864 nucleotides. RefSeq lists it as uncharacterized. The transcript is spliced from 5 exons. The record is from RefSeq and is a predicted model, not a curated record. Lineage: Eukaryota; Metazoa; Chordata; Actinopteri; Cypriniformes; Cyprinidae.
UGUACAGUGAGACAAAACGAUGACCGCACUGACGGCGAAUCCUUAAGAGUAGAUUGUUUAUAUCUGCGUCCUUUUUGUACAAGAGAGUACAGAAUACAUCCUGUCUCCAACUAAUGCAGAGUAUAUUCAAGCUGCCAGUACACUGAUAUGAAGAACCCUUUCCAGAGAAAUAUAGAAAGAUAUGACUGUGAAGCUUGUGUUGGGGAGGAUUCAGUGUCUGUUGAGGCACAUGUGAAUGUGUUAUAAAGUGAAACACAUCCAGACAACUCGACUGUCAAAGACCACACGACAGGACCAUUCUCCUGGAGACGCUGAGAAAGCAUUGAAGGAAUGUCUGUGAAGGAUGUACUCAAAAAAUACACAAGCUUCAGGACACCUGCUGGAGGGGACCCGGCUACACCUUUCCUACCGUACACCUGAUGGAUACUGACUGUAAAAUGGCAAUCACAGGAGGAGGGCUCAGUGUGGUGACAGAAGAUGGAACAGAUGUGUGUCCGUGCACCAGCCUUGAUGAAGCUUCAUAACAGCCUUCUGGAUGUAUUCUGCUUUCAACAUUGCAUAUCCACCACACCUGAGAAAGACACCGACUUUCCUUCAGAGGGACAUUGUCAACAUUAGUAGACGAGACAAGCUCUGUAUGGUUGACUGGAAGUCUGUCAGUCCAGAUGUGAGGAAGACACACAGAGUGGAGCUGGAGCUCAGCAGAUGUGUGAUGCUGUAGAUACUGUGGUCUUGGAAAGAAGGGAUCUUCACAGCUUUCUAUUCAGACAAAGAGUUUGCUGGAUUCUGUUCUAUGGACUGCUACUACAGAAUGAAUGAAUGAAUGAGUGGUUUAUCUAUCUAUCUAUCUAUCUAUCUAUCUAU